AGUGAACGCUGGCGGUAGGCCUAACACAUGCAAGUCGAACGGCAGCACAGUAAGAGCUUGCUCUUACGGGUGGCGAGUGGCGGACGGGUGAGGAAUACAUCGGAAUCUACUUUUUCGUGGGGGAUAACGUAGGGAAACUUACGCUAAUACCGCAUACGACCUACGGGUGAAAGCAGGGGAUCCUCGGACCUUGCGCGAUUGAAUGAGCCGAUGUCGGAUUAGCUAGUUGGCGGGGUAAAGGCCCACCAAGGCGACGAUCCGUAGCUGGUCUGAGAGGAUGAUCAGCCACACUGGAACUGAGACACGGUCCAGACUCCUACGGGAGGCAGCAGUGGGGAAUAUUGGACAAUGGGCGCAAGCCUGAUCCAGCCAUACCGCGUGGGUGAAGAAGGCCUUCGGGUUGUAAAGCCCUUUUGUUGGGAAAGAAAAGCAGCAGGUUAAUACCCCGCUGUUCUGACGGUACCCAAGAAUAAGCACCGGCUAACUUCGUG
Molecule: ribosomal RNA, 491 nt
Filed under: uncultured bacterium
Lineage: Bacteria
Description: partial 16S ribosomal RNA
Rfam family: Bacterial small subunit ribosomal RNA
Source: RNAcentral